GGGAGUAACAAAGAGGCUUUUCUACUGCAGGUUUUCCUAGAGCUCCUCUCCCUCCCUCCCCUGGCCAAAGCUACUGGUCCCUGAAUCACAUGUGCUGUACAGCAAGGAUGUCAAAGCUCUCUUCCUCAAAGGCAGGAGCAUCUCCUCAGACCCUAGUAUCCUCCUCAUUUCCUCUUUGCUUCCUUUUGUCGGGUUCCAAAAAACAGUAGAAGUGCCCUGGAUUCUGAUGAGAGAACAUUCUCAAGGGAUUGCUGACUCGGGAGGCAAACAGGCUCCAGCGAUCCUGCAGCCCACGGGCUGGUGGGGAGAUGACCCACAGGGGGCUGUUCCAAAAAGGAAGAGCAGUGGGCCUGGAAGAGUAUGAUUUGGCCUUAGUGUUGCUUCACUUUUCUGUCUUAAUUGCCCUGUGGUUUCAUCUGGUCAUGGGAGUCCACGAUGACAUGUGCCAUCCUUGUAUGAAUGGUGCUUGCAGAACCGAAGGAAGGGCCUGUACCAAUGCCUGGGGAAAAGCAGACCAAUGAAGACUUGUAAGAGCCCAGAAAAGAGGCUGGGAGAAGGUCAGGAAUGGGGUAAACGUGGCCUUGGGGCAUCUGCCUGGAGCUCCAGGUGACCAGUGGCACCCAGAACAAUUCUUGACCCUCUGCAGGUCCUCCAAAGCAUCCUCAGUAGGACCUGCAGAAGGUCAAAAAUUUUCUGCUUUCACGUUGGAUGGAGGUCAAGACUAAGUCAGCUCAACUGUAAAGAAAAUGAUGCUUUUCCCUUUGAAAACUGGUACAAGACAAGGAUGUCCUCUCUCACCACUCCUAUUCAACAUAGUAUGGGAAGUUCUGGCCAGGGCAAUCAGGCAAGAGAAAGAAAUAAAGGGUAUUCAAUUAGGAAAAAAGGAAGUCAAGUCUCUAUUUGCAGAUGACAUGAUUGUAUAUUUAGAAAUCCCCAUUGUCUCAGCCCAAAAUCUCCUUAAGCCAAUAAGCAACUUCAUCAAAAUCUUAGGAUACAAAAUCAAUGUGCAAAAAUCACACGCAUUCCUAUACAACAAUAACAGACAAACAGAGAGCCAAAUCAUGAGUGAGCUCCCAUUCACAAUUGCUACAAAGAGAAUAAAAUACCUAGGAAUCCAACUUACAAGGGAUGUGAAGGACCUCUUCAAGGAGAACUACAAACCACUACUCAACGAAAUAAAAGAGGACACAAACAAA
Homo sapiens (human) is the source of this 1196-nucleotide long non-coding RNA. NCBI's taxonomy places the organism in Eukaryota, Metazoa, Chordata, Mammalia, Primates, Hominidae. The record is from Ensembl.